CCUACGGGUGGCAGCAGUGAGGAAUAUUGGUCAAUGGGCGCGAGCCUGAACCAGCCAAGUCGCGUGAGGGAAGACGGUCCUAUGGAUUGUAAACUUCUUUUGUCAAGGGACAAAAUCAGGCUCGAGAGCCUGACCGAGGGUACUUGAAGAAAAAGCAUCGGCUAACUCCGUGCCAGCAGCCGCGGUAAUACGGAGGAUGCGAGCGUUAUCCGGAUUUAUUGGGUUUAAAGGGUGCGUAGGCGGACUGUUAAGUCAGUUGUGAAAGUUUGCGGCUCAACCGUAAAAUUGCAGUUGAAACUGGCAGUCUUGAGUACAGUAGAGGUGGGCGGAAUUCGUGGUGUAGCGGUGAAAUGCUUAGAUAUCACGAAGAACUCCGAUUGCGAAGGCAGCUCACUGGACUGCAACUGACACUGAGGCUCGAAAGUGUGGGUAUCAAACAGGAUUAGAUACCCUUGUAGUC
RNAcentral lists this ribosomal RNA (460 nucleotides) under uncultured bacterium. Its description in RNAcentral is "partial 16S ribosomal RNA". It matches the Rfam family "Bacterial small subunit ribosomal RNA", at positions 338 to 795 of the family's 1533-position model. The record is from RNAcentral.